GAUUUCUUUAAGACUGCAAGGGAAGCUCAGCUUCCCCUAUAAUUGUUAAAAAUUGAAUGGUCAAAUAUUUGUACUAUUAUGUUAACUUUGUAUUGACUAAAAAUGCGUUAAACACGUUCAUCUCGAACGAAAACAAUUUCGUUCAGAAUCAGCUACUUAGGUCGGCUGACUUGAUUUCCUUCUCAUUCAUUCCCGUAGCGUACAGUGCAUUACUCUGUUGAAGCCCAGCGUCCAUUGACUUCAAUGGGGCGCUUUAAACAGUUUUUUUUCAGUGCUUAGAAACAAGACGGUCAUUGGAUAAUGCUGCGAUUAUGUCCCGCCCACGGACGCUCAGCGUCUCUGGGAUGAAUGGAGGAGUGGGCUGGCCCGGACUCCGAGCGUCUGCGUGAUGAUUGGAGGGACUUUUAUUUCCUAAAACGCUCGUUUUUUGGGGUCGACAGCUUAUAAAAACGUAUUUCUUGUUUUUUUAGCUUGUUUGCUAUACACAUUGUCACAUAUCAGCUUUUAGACAUUGUUUUUUUUUGUUAUAAAUCAUAAUUGACAAGUAGGCGGCAGCUUCUCGCAAUGCAAAAAGACGGUUGUGUGGGCGUGGGCGUGGUCGUCAGAUUAUGACGCGUAUCACUCUGUGUCUCCGUUUCCAACUCAGUUUUUAUGAUUUAGGCCGAAAAUGAGCUUCCCCUCUUUAAAAGAUCAGCAGCCGCCACUGUAAUGUACAUAUAUUUUUAAUGUAUAAGAGUAAGAGUUCGGAGAAAAUUUAUAAUUUGAUUAAUUAUGUAUGAAAAUACAAAAAGAAAACCAGGCAAAUAAUAAACCUAACACCCAAACACACACACAAACUAAUAUACAUUGCUUUUAGCCUUUGAAGAUGCAUGUAAAAGAACAAAAAUUUGUGCAACCUUUCCUUUUAAUUUGUUAUUUUAUUUUAAUUUAUCCCCUGUUUAGUGUAGCUACUUCUUCUUAUUCUCUGUUUUAUUACUCUAAAAAAUGCUGGGUUAUUUCUGUAAACACAUUUUUGGGUUAAUUGUGCUGGGUCAUAAUUUUGGGUUGUUUGAGGUACUGUAAACACACAGUUGGGUUGCUCAUGCUGGGUCAAAUGGACUGUAGGGGUUAUUUCACCACUGAACAGCUGGGUUAGGUUAUUUUGACCCAACCGGUUUGUUCAUUUUACCACUUCAUCGAACCUUCUGGAUCCUUCACGCGUCUCCUUGUCAGACGGCAACACACAUCACAGCAAGCUGAUUUUAUAAGGUGGGGACUUUAAUGGUGGAAUACUCGCAAAAUGCAGAGAACAGUGAUGUAUUCUGCACAUUUUGUGCCUUUGGGAGGAGGCAGCAACGACAUCCCAGACUUUCACCAUUGUUUCAGGACAUGCCAUUGAAAAACUGACUUGUUGCUCAGUUGAUCUGUUUCAAGUCCUUUUCUGUGCUUGAUGUUAACUAAGCAGUCUCUUCCUACUUAGAAAUUUCUCCAGCAUGCAGUUUAUCGUAUUGAUGGACAUGAGUCUUCAUGUGGGAAGUUUUUGAGGACAAAAGUUUUUUUCUGGGCACUUGUAACAUGCUUUAAGUUGUCACAUG
Triplophysa dalaica is the source of this 1574-nucleotide long non-coding RNA. RefSeq lists it as uncharacterized. Lineage: Eukaryota; Metazoa; Chordata; Actinopteri; Cypriniformes; Nemacheilidae. The transcript is spliced from 2 exons. The record is from RefSeq and is a predicted model, not a curated record.